GGGGAAUAUUGCGCAAUGGGGGAAACCCUGAUGCAGCGACGCCGCGUGGAGGAAGAAGGUCUUCGGAUUGUAAACUCCUGUUGUUGAGGAAGAUAAUGACGGUACUCAACAAGGAAGUGACGGCUAACUACGUGCCAGCAGCCGCGGUAAAACGUAGGUCACAAGCGUUGUCCGGAAUUACUGGGUGUAAAGGGAGCGCAGGCGGGAGAACAAGUUGGAAGUGAAAUCCAUGGGCUCAACCCAUGAACUGCUUUCAAAACUGUUUUUCUUGAGUAGUGCAGAGGUAGGCGGAAUUCCCGGUGUAGCGGUGGAAUGCGUAGAUAUCGGGAGGAACACCAGUGGCGAAGGCGGCCUACUGGGCACCAACUGACGCUGAGGCUCGAAAGUGUGGGUAGCAAACAGGAUUAGAUACCCUGGUAGUCCACACCGUAAACGAUGAUUACUAGGUGUUGGAGGAUUGACCCCUUCAGUGCCGCAGUUAACACAAUAAGUAAUCCACCUGGGGAGUACGACCGCAAGGUUGAAACUCAAAGGAAUUGACGGGGGCCCGCACAAGCAGUGGAGUAUGUGGUUUAAUUCGACGCAACGCGAAGAACCUUACCAAGUCUUGACAUCCCUUGACGAUGCUGGAAACAGUAUUUCUCUUCGGAGCAAGGAGACAGGUGGUGCAUGGUUGUCGUCAGCUCGUGUCGUGAGAUGUUGGGUUAAGUCCCGCAACGAGCGCAACCCUUAUGGUCAGUUACUACGCAAGAGGACUCUGGCCAGACUGCCGUUGACAAAACGGAGGAAGGUGGGGAUGACGUCAAAUCAUCAUGCCCUUUAUGACUUGGGCUACACACGUACUACAAUGGCGUUAAACAAAGAGAAGCAAGACCGCGAGGUGGAGCAAAACUCAGAAACAACGUCCCAGUUCGGACUGCAGGCUGCAACUCGCCUGCACGAAGUCGGAAUUGCUAGUAAUCGUGGAUCAGCAUGCCACGGUGAAUACGUUCCCG
This 995-nucleotide ribosomal RNA is filed under the name uncultured organism. RNAcentral's name for it is "bacterial SSU rRNA". It matches the Rfam family "Bacterial small subunit ribosomal RNA", at positions 356 to 1376 of the family's 1533-position model. The record is from RNAcentral.